ACGCUCGACACCUACGGGAGGCAGCAGUGAGGAAUAUUGGUCAAUGGGCGCUAGCCUGAACCAGCCAAGUAGCGUGAAGGAUGAAGGCUCUAUGGGUCGUAAACUUCUUUUAUAUAAGAAUAAAGUGCAGUAUGUAUACUGUUUUGUAUGUAUUAUAUGAAUAAGGAUCGGCUAACUCCGUGUCAGCAGCCGCGGUAAUCUGAGCGGGGCUGGCAAGGC
Molecule: ribosomal RNA, 219 nt
Filed under: uncultured bacterium
Lineage: Bacteria
Description: partial 16S ribosomal RNA
Rfam family: Bacterial small subunit ribosomal RNA
Source: RNAcentral